This is a long non-coding RNA of Alexandromys fortis (reed vole), 2039 nucleotides long. RefSeq lists it as uncharacterized. The record is from RefSeq and is a predicted model, not a curated record. The transcript is spliced from 6 exons. NCBI's taxonomy places the organism in Eukaryota, Metazoa, Chordata, Mammalia, Rodentia, Cricetidae.
GAACCUCACUGCAAGCUGGUCUGGCUAACAUGGCAAGCUUCCGGUUCAGUGGAGGACUCUACGUUCAAUCAGGUCUUGCGAGCACCUCAUAGUAUUAUUGUGCUGCAUCUGCUGGUGAGGCUGUCUCAGGUGUUUUAACGUCUGAGUCCUUAGCUGAGAUCUGGGAUGUCCAAACCAACCUGCCUUCAUUGCAAGCCCUGCUCUCCUUUGCACUAUCAGAUAAGUUCCUUUUAAUGUGUUUAGAAUCAACCUCUUUCAAACAUGCCUCAUUUCUCCAAGGAUUAAUAAACACAUUCUGGCCCUCUCGUGAUUUUCAGCACAUGUAAAAUACAUCACUUCUUUACUUGAGCUUCCUAGAGGGUAAUUGUUCAUUCACACUCUUCCUAUGAAAGGAUUACUGCACUAAAAUUCGUUGUCUGGUAAGCAGUGUUGCAAAGGCUUUCAAUAGCGAAGAAAAUGGCUUAAAAGACACGGAGAUGAUACAAUGGUCACAGAGUAAAGUUUUGCUGUGUUAUGAAGUCUAUUCUUUUAUGGAAACACUUGUGUAUGGAAAACAGGAAUGCCUGUCAGGGCAAAGACAACCCUCUGGCCCGGGAUCCUUUGGUAUCUGAAUUCUGGGGUGCCUAUUGUGCAGGUCUGAAAUACGAAGGCACAUCAAGUGCAGAGGUAGGAUCAAGCAUCUGGACUGUGAUUUAUCCAGCUUUUUUUUUUCUGAGUUCAAGCCCUGAACAUGUCUAGUGUGAUGAACAGAAUGAAUGAGAGCAAAUUGACUUUCAUACUCUCACAGGGAGGAGAGUCACGCAAGUGCGGAUCCAUCACCAGCCAUGGCUGUCCUGACAGCAUUCAUCCACCAGAGCCAGCUUUUGUGUGGGCAAUGCCAGGGAAAUUUAUUUCUCUGAGUGAGUUUACUGCCUACAUUCAGGGUGUCUCAUCUUUCUGGCAAUCAGGAUAAAUUGUGUCUCUGUAAUAACACUGUAGCAAGCUAUUCUUUACCAUGAGGAGUCAGUAAUGACUGUGUCUUACAUUUGCAUUCAUUCUGACAAGAUUUACUGGUGCUUGCUGAUCUGUAAAUUUCAAAAUGGCAAACAGCAUCAAAGGUCAAUGCAGUGAUAAUAUUAAUAGCUUUAGGAAAAGGUUGAGAGGCUUGGAAAUUCCAGAUAAUAUCCUCGGUAAGAGGGAAAUCCAUUUAGCGAUGGUUGUCCUCAUUCUUGCUAUUGCUUCUUUCUCUCUGUAUAGGGCAGCCAUAGCACCCUAGAAAAUGAAUCAAGCAGCACAAAAGGUCAAUAAUACGGAAUUUUGUUGAGUCACAGGUGAGACCAUCCUUCAGGGUUCCUGCUUCAUGAAAGAGUCUGCCAGACAUUCUGAGGGACACAGAAGAAAGGAAUUGAUGGACUUUGCCAUUACAAGGCUAAACAGAUCUUCAAAUUUGCUGCUUCAUAGAAAAGUCUGCUGGAUACCAUGGGCCUGUAGACUGAAGAUGGAUGCCGAGAAGAAUGUUACAGAAGAACUUUGUGUUCAGGUCUUGUGCCAGUGACCGCAGCUGCUAUGAGAUACGACUGUGAUGACCACAUCAUGUCCGGAAGUCAGCAUUUCACCGAAGUCUUCCUCACCUUCAGGUUUUUAUCAUUUUUGACUCUUCUAAGAUAUUUCCUGAGCUGUGGCUUCCAGCAGCAGAAGUGGCCAGAUUCAAGGUGUGUCUUAAUACCUCAAGAGCUGUAUUAAAUGCACACAUCUUUCAGCCUCAAGAUCCAGAUCAAAGCUGCUCUAUGAAGAUUCUCUGGAGAAAGGGAACUUCCUUGGAUUUCUCCUCGGAGUUGAUGAAGUGGAAGACGACGAGCUUUCUCCUAAAUGUUUUUGUCAGCACUAGAUUAUUUGAGGAUUGUUCCAUCUUCCUUGUGACCAGAAGGCAGUGGAAAUAAAACAAGCUUUUUUUUUGGAAUUGUAUAUUUUAUUAAAAUGGAAUCAUGGUUGUCUUUCGAGCUUUGUGUUGUAAAUUAGCAAAUUUUGCACUAAAAUAAAUAAUAAAUGAGGUUAAAAGG